This 253-nucleotide ribosomal RNA is filed under the name uncultured bacterium. Its description in RNAcentral is "partial 16S ribosomal RNA". It matches the Rfam family "Bacterial small subunit ribosomal RNA", at positions 524 to 776 of the family's 1533-position model. The record is from RNAcentral.
AACGUAGGAGGCAAGCGUUAUCCGGAGUUACUGGGCGUAAAGGGCGCGCAGGCGGUUGGAUAAGUGUGCGGUGAAAGAGACAGGCUCAACCUGUGGAACGCCGUGCAGACUGUUCAGCUAGAGACAGCUAGAGGAACGCGGAAUUCGGGGUGUAGCGGUGAAAUGUGUAGAGAUGCCGAGGAACACCAGUGGUGAAGACGGCGUUCUGGGGCUGGACUGACGCUGAGGCGCGAAGGCGUGGGGAGCGAACGGG